AACGAACGCUGGCGGCAUGCCUAACACAUGCAAGUCGAACGAGACCUUCGGGUCUAGUGGCGCACGGGUGCGUAACGCGUGGGAACCUGCCCUUAGGUUCGGAAUAACUCCCCGAAAGGGGUGCUAAUACCGGAUAAUGUCUUCGGACCAAAGAUUUAUCGCCUUUGGAUGGGCCCGCGUUGGAUUAGCUAGUUGGUAGGGUAAAAGCCUACCAAGGCGACGAUCCAUAGCUGGUCUGAGAGGAUGAUCAGCCACACUGGGACUGAGACACGGCCCAGACUCCCUCGGGGGGGAGGAGGGGGGGAUAUUGGACAAUGGGCGAAAGCCUGAUCCAGCAAUGCCGCGUGAGUGAUGAAGGCCUUAGGGUUGUAAAGCUCUUUUACCCGGGAUGAUAAUGACAGUACCGGGAGAAUAAGCGCCGGCUAACUCCGUG
Molecule: ribosomal RNA, 433 nt
Filed under: uncultured bacterium
Lineage: Bacteria
Description: partial 16S ribosomal RNA
Rfam family: Bacterial small subunit ribosomal RNA
Source: RNAcentral